UACGUAGGGGCGAGCGUUGUCCGGAAUGAUUGGGCGUAAAGGGCGCGUAGGCGGCCAUGCAAGUCUGGAGUGGAAGUCCAUUUUUCAAGGGUGGAAUUGCUUUGGAAACUGUGUGGCUGGAGUGCAGGAGAGGUUAUCGGAAUUCCCGGUGUAGCGGUGAAAUGCGUAGAGAUCGGGAGGAACAUCAGUGGCGAAGGCGGGUAACUGGACUGCAACUGACGCUGAGGCGCGAAAGUGUGGGGAGCAAACAGGAUUAGAUACCCGCGUA
Molecule: ribosomal RNA, 268 nt
Filed under: uncultured prokaryote
Description: partial 16S ribosomal RNA
Rfam family: Bacterial small subunit ribosomal RNA
Source: RNAcentral